This 380-nucleotide ribosomal RNA is filed under the name uncultured Sphingomonadaceae bacterium. RNAcentral describes it as "bacterial SSU rRNA". It matches the Rfam family "Bacterial small subunit ribosomal RNA", at positions 822 to 1208 of the family's 1533-position model. The record is from RNAcentral. Lineage: Bacteria; Pseudomonadati; Pseudomonadota; Alphaproteobacteria; Sphingomonadales; Sphingomonadaceae.
GUCCGGGCCUUGGUGCUUGGGUGGCGCAGCUACGCGAAAGUUUCCGCUGGGGAGCCGGCCGCAAGAUUAAAACUAAAGGAAUUGACGGGGGCCUGCACAAGCGGGGGAGCAUGUGGUUUAAUUCGAAGCACCGCGCAGAACCUUACCAGCGUUUGACAUGUCCGGACGAUUUCCAGAGAUGGAUCUCUUCCCUUCGGGGACUGGAACACAGGUGCUGCAUGGCUGUCGUCAGCUCGUGUCGUGAGAUGUUGGGUUAAGUCCCGCAACGAGCGCAACCCUCGCCUUUAGUUACCAUCAUUUAGUUGGGGACUCUAAAGGAACCGCCGGUGAUAAGCCGGAGGAAGGUGGGGAUGACGUCAAGUCCUCAUGGCCCUUACACG